GAUGAACGCUAGCGGCAGGCCUAAUACAUGCAAGUCAAGGGGCCAGUAAUGGCACCGGCGGACGGGUGCGUAACGCGUACACAACGGUACCUUUGGGUGGGGGAUAGCAUCGGGAAACUGGUGGUAAUACCCCAUGGUAUUGGAAACUGGCAUCAGUUUUCAAUUAAAGACUACGCCCAAAGAUCGGUGUGCGUCUGAUUAGCUAGUUGGUAGGGUAACGGCCUACCAAGGCGACGAUCAGUAGGGGAUGUGAGAGGAUGAUCAGCCACACUGGGACUGAGACACGGCCCAGACUCCUACGGGAGGCAGCAGUGGGGAAUAUUGGACAAUGGGCGAAAGCCUGAUCCAGCAAUGCCGCGUGAGUGAUGAAGGCCUUAGGGUUGUAAAGCUCUUUUACCAGGGAUGAUAAUGACAGUACCUGGAGAAUAAGCUCCGGCUAACUCCGUG
Molecule: ribosomal RNA, 447 nt
Filed under: uncultured bacterium
Lineage: Bacteria
Description: bacterial SSU rRNA
Rfam family: Bacterial small subunit ribosomal RNA
Source: RNAcentral